UUACCAAGCUCUUGGGUGCAAUCUUCAUCAAAUAUUUUGAAGGUCGAUUUUAUUUAUUCCAUGCAUCUUUUGGGUAUUCUCAUACUAUUUGUAUUCAUUUUAUCUUGUUCGUGGUAGUUGAAUAUUUUGAGUACGGGAUAUUAUUCCUUUUAGCUUGUGAAUGUUGUGAAUGUUUUUGGC
Ipomoea nil (Japanese morning glory) is the source of this 180-nucleotide long non-coding RNA. RefSeq lists it as uncharacterized. The record is from RefSeq and is a predicted model, not a curated record. The transcript is spliced from 3 exons. Lineage: Eukaryota; Viridiplantae; Streptophyta; Magnoliopsida; Solanales; Convolvulaceae.